GGAAUUAAGGCAGGACAGAGAAGUAAUAAUGCGGAAGGUAAAGGUUGGUGGGGGAUAGGACUGCUGUUUUUAGUGGAAUCUUCUACAUGGAAAGAAAACUGCAGGACACAAGAACACCAGCAGAGUAAAGAAUGUGCCUGGGAGAAAUGGGAGGCUUUGAGGAUUGCUGGAGAAAAUGGGUGCCAGGAAAUGAGAAACUCAUGUGUCUGGGGCCCUAAAAGGCCUAGCUAAGGUUGUGAGAAUCACUGUUGAAUGAUAUAUCAAAAGCCUUACUACCUCAAAAGACCUUCCACUGUGGGUGCCACAUGUCUCUGCACCACACCCCAGAGGGCCCACAGCCAUUCUGCAUUCAAGAGAGGCUGAGGGGGGUAAGACUCUUUUUCUUCUCUGCUAAACUGCCUAUUUUGAUGAUGAGAUGUCUGCUAUCAUCACAGGGAAUAGAAUUUCCUCUUGCACUAGCCUAAAGAAUG
Molecule: long non-coding RNA, 470 nt
Organism: Chlorocebus sabaeus (green monkey)
Lineage: Eukaryota; Metazoa; Chordata; Mammalia; Primates; Cercopithecidae
Source: RefSeq, a predicted model, not a curated record